GAUGAACGCUGGCGGCGUGCCUAAUACAUGCAAGUCGAGCGAACAGACGAGGAGCUUGCUCCUCUGACGUUAGCGGCGGACGGGUGAGUAACACGUGGAUAACCUACCUAUAAGACUGGGAUAACUUCGGGAAACCGGAGCUAAUACCGGAUAAUAUAUUGAACCGCAUGGUUCAAUAGUGAAAGACGGUUUUGCUGUCACUUAUAGAUGGAUCCGCGCCGCAUUAGCUAGUUGGUAAGGUAACGGCUUACCAAGGCAACGAUGCGUAGCCGACCUGAGAGGGUGAGCGGCCACACUGGAACUGAGACACGGUCCAGACUCCUACGGGAGGCAGCAGUAGGGAAUCUUCCGAAAUGGGCGAAAGCCUGACGGAGCAACGCCGCGUGAGUGAUGAAGGUCUUCGGAUCGUAAAACUCUGUUAUGAGGGAAGAACAAAUGUGUAAGUAACUAUGCACGUCUUGACGGUACCUAAUCAGAAAGCCACGGCUAAAUACG
RNAcentral lists this ribosomal RNA (495 nucleotides) under uncultured bacterium. Its description in RNAcentral is "partial 16S ribosomal RNA". It matches the Rfam family "Bacterial small subunit ribosomal RNA", at positions 28 to 505 of the family's 1533-position model. The record is from RNAcentral.